AUGCAAAUAAAAAAGUGCCUGCAAUCUGUUUUUCACCUUUUUUGAGAAAUCCCGGGGAACUGGGUAUAAUACUAUGUAUACUUUUAUCAACAUAUAUUGAAACUCUCUACAAAAAAAGGGAAGGAGACCAACUUUCUGGAUAGUCUCAUGUGCUGCAACGAGAGGAAACAUGUGACAGACAUAGCGCUGUAUUUCACAACACCACACGGUGGAGUUCCUCUGCUUUACCAAUGUGCUGACGGUCGGACUGGGAAUGCUGAACCCAUGAUUAAUGCUUUUUCAUGUCUGUGGCACCAAACAGAAGCAACACGUGGUUGAAUGUUGGUACAACAGCAACAAUCCACAAAGUAUGGGAAUCAACCUUCAAAAGAAGAUGAUGGCACCGCGACAAUUCAACACAAAAUUGGGCAGGUGGGACUGAGGAAUAAUCAAGCUCUUACAAAGCCUGUGAGCAAUGACAUCACCAACUGACAACGCAUGACGAUACUUGGACCUAUAGUACACAUCCCGUUGAAUUCAUAUUCCAUUGACUGUGUGAUGACUCAAAGCCUCAUACUGAACAAAGAAAAACACGGAUUUCACGCCGUCAGCUUCCUUUAACUACGACACAGACAGGAAGGACGGGAAACACACUAUUGUACCAGAGAGCAGCAACGCAGUAAGCACAACUACAGCAUCAUGGAAUAAUGCACCGGACAAUUGAGACAUACAAAAGAAGUUGUUUUUAAAACAAACUUAGAAAGUGUAAAAAAAGAAAAGGCACUUCUCGUAAAUGACUUUCCCUGUCCUCUUGAUUUUAAAAGGAAAUGGAAAAACAGUUGUUAAGAGAUAAUAGGGAAUCUGACCUCUGGUUCAGUAGGCAAGACAAAGGGAGGAUCACAUAUUCCCAAAAUGCGAGACUCAUUCUUUUCAUAUUUGUCAUACAAGAGUCAUUGUUAUUAGGAAUGUUUAUGAAAACAUCAGCUUUUACAUAAUAAAAACCCUCAUAGAUAACAAACAGCAUAACUAUUGUUCAUAUUACUCAAUAUGCACAAUAUACAGCAUGUAUAGGGGAGAAUAUGCACUGUACAUACAGAAGUGUAGGCCGCUUAUACUUUAAUAUCUGUCCUGGACAUAAUACGAUACGAACAUAUGCUGAUGCAGUUUAACUAUGUACAAUCAGUUUAAAUAAAUAUAUAACAUGUUUUGGUUUUCUACUAGUACUUUGUGUACAUAUCUGCUGCUACUUGAAGGAGGAACAACUCAAUAAAACAUUUUUCACAAAAA
Long non-coding RNA from Cottoperca gobio, 1266 nucleotides. RefSeq lists it as uncharacterized. The transcript has 2 exons. Lineage: Eukaryota; Metazoa; Chordata; Actinopteri; Perciformes; Bovichtidae. The record is from RefSeq and is a predicted model, not a curated record.